This 498-nucleotide ribosomal RNA is filed under the name uncultured Diversispora. Its description in RNAcentral is "SSU rRNA". It matches the Rfam family "Eukaryotic small subunit ribosomal RNA", at positions 569 to 1070 of the family's 1831-position model. The record is from RNAcentral. Lineage: Eukaryota; Fungi; Glomeromycota; Glomeromycetes; Diversisporales; Diversisporaceae.
AGCAGCCGCGGUAAUUCCAGCUCCAAUAGCGUAUAUUAAAGUUGUUGCAGUUAAAAAGCUCGUAGUUGAACUUCGGGGUUUACCCAUUGGUCAGGCUUAAUUGUCUGUACUGGUGAGAUGAAUCUCUACCUUCUGAGGAACUUUCAUGCCAUUUAUUUGGUGUGAUGGGAAAUCAGGACUGUUACUUUGAAAAAUUAGAGUGUUUAAAGCAGGCUAACGUCUGAAUACAUUAGCAUGGAAUAAUGAAAUAGGACGGACUGAUUCUAUUUCGUUGGUUUCUAAGAUCACCGUAAUGAUUAAUAGGGAUAGUUGGGGGCAUUAGUAUUCAAUUGUCAGAGGUGAAGUUCUUGGAUUUAUUGAAGACUAACUACUGCGAAAGCAUUUGCCAAGGAUGUUUUCAUUAAUCAAGAACGAAAGUUAGGGGAUCGAAGACGAUCAGAUACCGUCGUAGUCUUAACCAUAAACUAUGCCGACUAGGGAUCGGACGAAGUUAAUUUU